GGAUUAACACCCCAUAAAAUCACAGUACAGCAUUGUACAAUGAUCAAAUAUUUAUAGGAUUAAGAUGGGCAUGCGUGACAUUAGUUAGUUGGCGGGGUAACGGCCCACCAAGACCACGAUGUCUAGGGGAUCUGAGAGGAUGACCCCCCACACUGGUACUGAGACACGGACCAGACUCCUACGGGAGGCAGCAGUAAGGAAUAUUGGUCAAUGGAGGCAACUCUGAACCAGCCAUGCCGCGUGCAGGAGGACAGCCCUCUGGGUCGUAAACUGCUUUUAUUCGGGAAUAAACCUACUUACGUGUAAGUAGCUGAAUGUACCGAAGGAAUAAGGAUCGGCUAACUCCGUGCCAGCAGCCGCGGUAAUACGGAGGAUCCAAGCGUUAUCCGGAUUUAUUGGGUUUAAAGGGUGCGUAGGCGGCUUUUUAAGUCAGGGGUGAAAGACGGUGGCUCAACCAUCGCAGUGCCCUUGAUACUGAAGAGCUUGAAUGAAUUAGAGGUAGGCGGAAUGUGACAAGUAGCGGUGAAAUGCAUAGAUAUGUCACAGAACACCGAUUGCGAAGGCAGCUUACUAUGAUUUUAUGACGCUGAGGCACGAAAGCGUGGGGAUCAAAC
This 614-nucleotide ribosomal RNA is filed under the name uncultured bacterium. RNAcentral describes it as "bacterial SSU rRNA". It matches the Rfam family "Bacterial small subunit ribosomal RNA", at positions 160 to 773 of the family's 1533-position model. The record is from RNAcentral.